This 775-nucleotide ribosomal RNA is filed under the name uncultured Neocallimastigales. RNAcentral's name for it is "partial large subunit ribosomal RNA". It matches the Rfam family "Eukaryotic large subunit ribosomal RNA", at positions 24 to 642 of the family's 3401-position model. The record is from RNAcentral. Lineage: Eukaryota; Fungi; Neocallimastigomycota; Neocallimastigomycetes; Neocallimastigales.
UAUCUCUGUAGAGUCUGCAUAUCAAUAAGCGGAGGAAAAGAAACUAACAAGGAUUCCCCUAGUAACGGCGAGUGAAGCGGGAAGAGCUCAAAUUUGAAAUCUUCAAGGUUCUACCUUGACGAAUUGUAGUUUAAAGAAGUGUCUUCGGUUAGAGGAGUAGUAAAAGUUCUUUGGAAUAGGACAUCAUAGAGGGUGAGAAUCCCGUAUUUGACUAUUCUUUCUAGCUUUGUGAUACACUUUCAAAGAGUCGGAUUGUUUGGGAAUGCAGUCCAAAAUGGGUGGUAAAUUUCAUCUAAAGCUAAAUAUUGGCGAGAGACCGAUAGCGAACAAGUACCGUGAGGGAAAGAUGAAAAGAACUUUGAAAAGAGAGUUAAACAGUACGUGAAAUUGUCAAAAGGGAAGCGUUUGACACCAGUGUUGUUUUUUCCGAAAAUCAAUUAAAAAUUGAUUCAUGCCAGGUUGUAUUGACCUUAUCAGCUUGCAAUUUGGUUUUGGGUCUCUUUUUGAUGCACUUUUCGGUUAACAAGUCAACAUCAAUUUCCUUUGCUGUAAAAAGGUAAGAGGAAGGUGGCUUCAAUUUCGGUUGAAGUGUUUAUAGCCUUUUAUCUCUGCAGUCGGGGAGAUUGAGGUCUGCAGCGUAGAUCCUUCGGGGCUAGAUACAUUUAUGCUAAGUUAUAGCUUUUCAUAGACAACUUGUUGACUAUGUUUAGUCAUGUAGCUUACUCGUAAGUGCUAUUUUACCUACGCUUAGGAUGUUGAGCGCAUGUCUCUCUCU